This is a non-coding RNA of Sus scrofa (pig), 2991 nucleotides long. Lineage: Eukaryota; Metazoa; Chordata; Mammalia; Artiodactyla; Suidae. The record is from RefSeq and is a predicted model, not a curated record.
UCAGGAAUGGUUCCUUCUUUUUCUUCUGUGGAAGCAUAAGGAGAUUUUUCUCUGAUUGUUACUGUGAGGACAUCGUUGAUCUUCUGGUGGUAAAUCUCUCUAUAUCAUGGGUGCCUUCCUAUGAUUGGGUCUCUGUGGAGUUCUUAAUUCUCAGAGUUGUCUGAACCAAGUCUUCAGCAAUUUGUGAAUUAUAGGUCAGAUUUUUGUUUCUGUAAAGAUUUCUGCUCACAAGUUUCUUCUCUGGUGCAUCAUAUCAUCAGCAGCUGAGUUUUUAUAAACAUCUUAAAUAGUGUGAUUUACCAAUUUUGAGAAAAAUGGAAAAUACUUUCUAUCUCAGACUGAGAGAGUGAUCCCUUGGAACCGGCCAGUUGCUGUGACAGAGGAAAGCAAGAGCAUGGUGAAUAAUGUACUACUAUACACCCAGACUGCCAUUUGUCCCAUUUCAUUUGCUGAGAUGGAAAAAAGAAGACCAAGAAGAAAAAGGUCUGAGAAGGUGAAGCAAGCCAUCCAAGAUGACAGUGAUGAACUACCUACCCUUUUGUGGAAAUAACAAUGAAUAAUGAAAUGCCACAGUACUGACAGAAGGAAGAAAAGCAAAGAAGCCACAGUUGUGAAAGAAGCUCUUUGUAUUCUGGGUAAGUAAUAAUUAUUUGACUAUAAUUAAUGUUGUUUUUGAUACCUUGAAAAAAAACAGACUCUAGUAGAUAUAUUAUCCUUUGUAACAGAUUGUUAUGAACAAUAUAGCACAGUCCUAUAUAUUUUUCUGAAUUUGAAGAUGAUUUAUUUUUGAUCACUGGCAUGUGGUUGUGUAUAUAGAUGUCCAAAACAAGUGAAGCAAUCAGUCCAUCAAUUGGUUAUUUUGUUUACAUGAAAUCAGAAUAGUUAGCUUGACUGAUUCUCCCCUCCUUGGAUGUUUGGGCAUUAAAUAUGUAACCCAGAUGUCAGCUGGGGCCACCUCGUCUUCCUUGAGAUUGAGGUAAGAAUGCCUUGAAUCUUGAUACAUACUUGUGGAAGGAGGAAACACUUUUCAAAUGUCAGGGAAAUCCAGGUAGCUUGAAUUCUUAAUGAUUACUCUUCCUCUAGCCUGUGUCUGGGUUUCUAUGUUUCCUCUUAUCCACUCCAUCAUUCCAGAUUCACACUCUAAAUUAUUUUUUCCAUAAUAUAAAAAUGUAGCCCAUGUAAAUGAAAUAUUCGUGAGUAUAGAGAACUUUUUGGAGGAUUGAGACAAGGGUACAGAAGUGUUUAUGCUACUGCAGAAAGAAUGACCCUAACCUACCUAGUUAUUCUCUGUUUUGGGUCUCUUUUUUAUUUGCUUCAUGGCACUUAUCACUCCUUGAGGUUAUGCACAUGUAUGUGUCUGUGUGUGUGUCUCUCCCCCACUAGAACGUUAACUUUAAGAGAGCAGUGGCUUUAUCUGUUUUGUUUGUUGGUAUAACUUCAGUGCCUAAUAGUCAGCACUCAAGGAAUGCAUAAGUGAACAAAUGAAGGAAUGAAUAAGUUAAGGGAGCCACAUGUGCUUCCUGGGUUUUAUCUUCUAUAAUCCAGGAGUUUAUCAAGAAUAGUCUUUUUCCUAAGAGGGAUUCAUGGGUCAAUUGUUAAAUAUCGCACUUAUUUUGAGUAUUUAUUUAAUUUAUAUCAUGUAAUUUAAACAGGAUUCAAAAUUUAGACCAAGUAUUAAUAAAUUUGCUGGAAUAAAAAUAAGCAUAAUUCAAAAAACUGAAACAUCACAAGAUGCUCUACAUAUGCAUUAUUUUAAGUAAUCCUCCCAAUAAACAUAGGAGAUGGUCCUACUGCCAUAUUUAUCAUAUUAUAUUACAACUGACUUCAGAUUCUCAGAGGAUUCAUAUUCUCAUGUAUCUCUACAGAUUUUCUUUAUUUAACAGCUCAUGUUUUAUGAAUUUCUCUCAUAGAAGGAAAGAAAAUGACAAGGUCUACUAAAUUUUUGAGCAGAAAUAGUAAGAUGUAGUCGAUUGAGUUAUAGAUGUAUAUUAAGAGGCAAAGGUUCUGUUUUUCUCAGCACAUCUACAUCCAUUUCAUAGAAUCAUUGAAAUAAACCAAUUUCAGUGUUCUAUUGGUGGUGAUUACCAGUGUGCUUUGGGAAUAGUUUAUAGCCAUGGAACAGAUGGAAAAAAAAAUUUUAAGGACGACUUACGGAGCUGAAUGCUCCAGGUGAGACUACCAGCCUCUCCAUCGUUCUCCAACCCACAACACUGCCAGUAUCACCAUUUUAACUGUAGUCAGGAACAAAAUUCAAUAAAUAAUGCAUAAGUAGAAUCAAAUAGCCACCUUGCCCUCUGAAUAAAUCACAUUACAUCUUUCAUCCCUUUCUCCCCUCAGUUUACAUCAGAAACAUAAGCCUCCAAAGCCUUCCAUCAUCAUACAGCAUUUUAGCUUUCUAUAUUCUCUAAUCUGACCAAAUCAUAUUAUUCCAGGUAUUGGUGUCUCUAUUAGUGUUGACUUAGACCUCCUUUUCAUAAGCAUGAAUGUCUUUUGUCUCAGUUAUGUUAGAUCCUAAUACUCUCUUAGAUUUAAGUUCCACCAUGUUCUCUUCCAACUAGUCCUGAGAAUAAUCAAGAUAGAAUGGACUAAACAAAGACUUGGGAAGAUGAGUCCAUUAGGAGAGGUCUGCUAAGGGGAGAAAAGAUUUUAUUGCAGAGAAUAGUCAAAAUAUAGAAUUAAAGAGAUAUAGUGGACUUAUAUUAAAAAUAAAUUUCCUUUAAGUAGUUUGGACUGUAUUUUCAAGCCAGAUUUUAAGCAGGGGUGUAUGGUUUAUGGUCACCCUGGUAACAGCAUGGGAGCUGGGCAACAGCCUCAGUUUUAAAACUAUUCAGUAGAACCAAAGAGUUCAUUGGAAGUGCUAAGUGCAAUCUUCAAGCAUUUAAUCCAAAUGCAUUUUUUUUGAAAAUUGUUUUUUUUACAGAAUAAAAUACAUAUAUUUAAACGCAAUUACAUUCAUACAGAUUAUUAUAUCAUGGAUCUUAAGAAGCAGAU